This is an RNA transcript of Sceloporus undulatus (fence lizard), 3069 nucleotides long. It is a transcript of the gene named IgLON family member 5, with no coding region annotated. The record is from RefSeq and is a predicted model, not a curated record. Lineage: Eukaryota; Metazoa; Chordata; Lepidosauria; Squamata; Phrynosomatidae. The transcript is spliced from 9 exons.
CCUCCCCUCCCUUCCCUGCUGAGCUGCAGCAAGGCUGAGAUGCGAGAGCCAGCCUGGACCAUCCUCCUCCUCCUCCAUCAUCACUGCCUCCAUCCCGCGAUCGCCUCCAGCCGCCGCUGCUGCUGCAGAAGAAGAAGAAUUCCUCCUCUUCCCAGUCCCUGAGCAUCUCUCCAGAAGCAUGAGCUGCUGCUGCUGCUUCUUCGUCUUCUUCCCAGGCACGCUGCUCUGCAGGAUGGGGAUGCUCUUCCUCUGGCCAGGGUUGCUGGUUCGGGGUGCGGAUUUUACUCAACCAGCUGACAAUUACACAGUUUGUCAGGGGGACAAUGCAACACUAAGCUGCUACAUAGACCAGCAAGUAACGCGUGUCGCAUGGUUGAACCGCUCCAACAUCCUGUACGCUGGCAAUGACAAGUGGUCCAUUGACUCCCGGGUGGAGUUGCUAACCUACAGCCCCUCAGAGUUCAGCAUCAUGAUCACUCAUGUUGAUGUGUACGACGAGGGGCUUUACACUUGCUCCUUCCAGACACAGGACAAGCCCCACACCUCACAGGUGUACCUCAUUGUGCAUGUUCCAGCACGGAUUGUGAACAUCUCAUCAGCUGUGACUGUGAAUGAGGGAAGCAACGUGAAUCUGCUCUGUCUAGCGAUGGGGAAACCGGAGCCAACUGUAACUUGGCGGCAGCUGAAAGAUGGAUUCACCAGUGAAGGGGAGUACCUGGAAAUCACAGAGAUCAACCGGCAGCAGGCAGGAGAGUAUGAGUGCAUCACGGCCAACGGUGUCUCAACACCAGACAGCAAGCGUGUCCUUAUUACUGUCAACUACCCUCCAACCAUUACGGAUAUGAAGGACUCGCGGCCCAUGCUGGGGAAGACAGCUCUGCUACGCUGCGAAGCCAUGGCUGUGCCACCUGCUGAAUUUCAGUGGUUCAAAGAUGACAAACAACUAGUCGGCGGCUUGGAUGGACUGCAGAUCCAGAAUGAGCGGACCCGCUCCAUACUGCUGUUCCCAAACGUCACUUAUCGGCAUUAUGGGAAUUACACCUGCCUGGCAUCUAACAACUUGGGCUCAUUCAAUGUUAGCUUACGGCUUCUCAGACCAGGUUCCCUGGAAAACAUGGCAGCAGCAAGCAUGGGAUCUCCCCUCUUCUUGGGCUUGCUGUCAUCUGCCUUUGUGACUCUGUUGUUUAAGAUUUAGGACAGCCAGGAAAUGGAGCAGAACAAGGAAAGGAAACAAGUGAAAAGGGAAAGAAUCCAAGAGAGGGGGGGAAAGAGAGAGAUAAAGAGAGAGUGGAGAAGAAGGUGACAUAUCUCUACUUUCUGGAAAAGACGCAGAGAGCAAGAAAUGAAAAUUUAAUCGAGAACCCCAUCACUGUGAGGGAAUAGAAGAAAACAAAAACAAAACAAAACAAAAAAAUAUGCAUUUGUUUCUACAGCCAUUGAUCUUCACACUCCAUCUCAGACACUUCCAGUCAAACCUGAUAUUUAACACAUAACUGAAAAGACACAGGGCUCAAAAGGGUUGACUGCAAACACGGCCCUCCUGACUCCUCACCUCUGCGACGACAUUCUGAAUCGCCAUCAUUCUUCUCCUUGGGCCAAUUGGACCUUUCGUCUUUCAAAUACACGGAACCGGGAAUGCCAAUUUCACAGAGGGUUUUUCUUAUCUUAUUAUUUUAGGGGUGGUUUUUUUCCCCAUUGCUCUUUCUUUUACUCUUAUUUGGGGAGGGGUGUGUGUGUCAAAAUUUCAGCAGCUGACUGCAUUCAACUUAGGGGCUUCACUUUUCGAUUUCUUGCGUUCGAGCUGGGAUGCGAAGCUCUGUAGAAAAUGGGAUGGUCUCCAUCACCACCACCACUGCCCAUCCCCAGUCAUUUCAGAUUUGCGGACCAUUAUAGUCAGCCUAGGACCAGGCAAACUGUUAGAGAUGUUGGGAUGUUGCUUUGCCCAGUUUUGGCAUCAAACAGACUUCUUUUAGGAGACCACGAGAGAUCUUAUGAAUUCACUUCACCAAAGCUGUGGGGAGGCCAGCGCUGAGAGUUGGAUCUACAGUCCUUCAACACCAUGCUGCUCCAAAGUCCUUGGAAGAACACUAAGGCCACUGAGUCCAGUCCACUAAGUUUUUAAGGCAUGGAAUCCCCAUUCUUUAAGACACAGUGAUCGAGGAAGAGAAAGCCAAGAAGAGGCAGCAGUAAAUGGCAUGCCAUCUGCCAGGUUCCUAGUACAUGUGUGUGCUCUGGUGCCUUAGCCCAGGUAGGUGAGUUGUGUGACCUUUGCAGACAACCUUUCACAUUCAAAACAUGAGCUCCCUAAGCCUUAGGGACAUCAUUAGGCUCAGGAAACCGAGAGGAGGAAUUUGUUGCCCAGGCUAGGAACCUGCACAGUGAAACUGCUUGGAUUAAAGGGCUGUUCUGCACUUGUAGAUAAUUGUGAUUUUGCAGUUGUGCUUUCCAAUACAGUGAUGUAAGCGUACAUCUCUAUAAAGAGCUUUUCACUAAGAAUGUUAAUGUGUGCAUGCAUGCACACACAUAGGGAGAUUCUCUAUACGAAGUGGUCCUACAUUAGUUUAUUCCUGCCAGCAUGGAUGGGCUCCUAAUGUUCUGUACAAUGCCACAUCCACCUGUGUGCCAUUCUUUGUUUCAAAGAGUGUACUAUCAAAUAUCUGACAGUGGAGAAGGGACAGACAAAAAGGAGUCAACUGCAUUGUCAAUGGCACAGAAAUCUGUCAGAAUGGGAACUUGGCACCUGGGGGCAUAUUUACACAAAGCUCUUAGUUUCAUCAUAAGGUAGCUGUACAAUGCUGGUGCUUUCUUCUUAACAAGAGCUUGGCACCAGAUUGGCACCAGCAGCCAAAACCUUUGGCCUGGAAGUCUGUUGGUGCAUUACACUGGCAUAAAUGUGUGCUAAAAGUGGGUUAUAUCUGGCCAAGAAAUAUCAGUAUAUGGACAAGAGGGUUAAAAGUUAUUAAUGAGGAAGUACAGAUAAACUAGAAAUGGCUGCAGCAGUUUGCUUUUGCUCAAGUUUACUGGGAAAGGGAAGAUUCAGUCCCCCUCUCCUCUCCUCUUCCCGCUUCU